UGCUCCUUAUUACGAUCAGAAGG
This 23-nucleotide microRNA is filed under the name Lottia gigantea (owl limpet). RNAcentral's name for it is "Lgi-Mir-2001_3p* (star (passenger))". The record is from RNAcentral. Lineage: Eukaryota; Metazoa; Mollusca; Gastropoda; Lottiidae.